AAUGGGCGAGAGCCUGAACCAGCCAUCCCGCGUGCAGGAUGACGGCCCUAUGGGUUGUAAACUGCUUUUGUGCGAGAAUAAUAUGCCUUACGAGUAGGGUAAUGAAGGUAUCGUACGAAUAAGCAUCGGCUAACUCCGUGCCAGCAGCCGCGGUAAUACGGAGGAUGCAAGCGUUAUCCGGAUUCAUUGGGUUUAAAGGGUGCGCAGGCGGGUUUGUAAGUCAGUGGUGAAAUACUGCCGCUUAACGGUAGGAUUGCCAUUGAUACUGCAAAUCUUGAGUAUGGUUGAGGUAGGCGGAAUGUGCAGUGUAGCGGUGAAAUGCAUAGAUAUUGUACAGAACGCCGAUUGCGAAGGCAGCUUACUAAGCCAUUACUGACGCUGAGGCACGAAAGCGUGGGGAUCGAA
RNAcentral lists this ribosomal RNA (405 nucleotides) under uncultured bacterium. RNAcentral's name for it is "bacterial SSU rRNA". It matches the Rfam family "Bacterial small subunit ribosomal RNA", at positions 370 to 772 of the family's 1533-position model. The record is from RNAcentral.